This 333-nucleotide ribosomal RNA is filed under the name uncultured bacterium. RNAcentral's name for it is "bacterial SSU rRNA". It matches the Rfam family "Bacterial small subunit ribosomal RNA", at positions 567 to 898 of the family's 1533-position model. The record is from RNAcentral.
GCGCGUAGGUGGUAGUGCAAGUCGUGGGGUGGAAUCCGUAUGGCUUAACCAUAGAAUUGCCUUGGAAACUGUAUUACUUGAGUCAGUGAGGGGAGGGUAGAAUUCCUGGUGUAGCGGUGAAAUGCGUAGAUAUCAGGAGGAAGGCCUGUGGCGAAGGCGGCCCUCUGGCGCUGAACUGACACUGAGGCGCGAAAGCGUGGGGAGCAAACAGGAUUAGAUACCCUGGUAGUCCACGCCCUAAACGGUGGGCACUAGGUGUAGGGCUCGUAAGGGUUCUGUGCCGAAGCGAAAGCAUUAAGUGCCCCGCCUGGGGAGUACGGCCGCAAGGUUGAA